This 242-nucleotide ribosomal RNA is filed under the name Glaesserella parasuis. RNAcentral describes it as "partial 16S ribosomal RNA". It matches the Rfam family "Bacterial small subunit ribosomal RNA", at positions 1013 to 1255 of the family's 1533-position model. Lineage: Bacteria; Pseudomonadati; Pseudomonadota; Gammaproteobacteria; Pasteurellales; Pasteurellaceae. The record is from RNAcentral.
UGUGCCUUCGGGAACUUAGAGACAGGUGCUGCAUGGCUGUCGUCAGCUCGUGUUGUGAAAUGUUGGGUUAAGUCCCGCAACGAGCGCAACCCUUAUCCUUUGUUGCCAGCGAUUUGGUCGGGAACUCAAAGGAGACUGCCAGUGAUAAACUGGAGGAAGGUGGGGAUGACGUCAAGUCAUCAUGGCCCUUACGAGUAGGGCUACACACGUGCUACAAUGGUGCAUACAGAGGGCGACGAAGC